GAUGAACGCUGGCGGCGUGCUUAAUACAUGCAAGUCGAGCGAACAGACGAGGAGCUUGCUCCUCUGACGUUAGCGGCGGACGGGUGAGUAACACGUGGAUAACCUACCUAUAAGACUGGGAUAACUUCGGGAAACCGGAGCUAAUACCGGAUAAUAUAUUGAACCGCAUGGUUCAAUAGUGAAAGACGGUUUUGCUGUCACUUAUAGAUGGAUCCGCGCCGCAUUAGCUAGUUGGUAAGGUAACGGCUUACCAAGGCAACGAUGCGUAGCCGACCUGAGAGGGUGAUCGGCCACACUGGAACUGAGACACGGUCCAGACUCCUACGGGAGGCAGCAGUAGGGAAUCUUCCGCAAUGGGCGAAAGCCUGACGGAGCAACGCCGCGUGAGUGAUGAAGGUCUUCGGAUCGUAAAACUCUGUUAUUAGGGAAGAACAAAUGUGUAAGUAACUAUGCACGUCUUGACGGUACCUAAUCAGAAAGCCACGGCUAACUACGUG
RNAcentral lists this ribosomal RNA (497 nucleotides) under uncultured bacterium. RNAcentral describes it as "partial 16S ribosomal RNA". It matches the Rfam family "Bacterial small subunit ribosomal RNA", at positions 28 to 507 of the family's 1533-position model. The record is from RNAcentral.